ACCCCCGUUCCAUCAUAAUUGAACUCUCUGGUCAUGACCUUCUUUUCCUUCAUGCUGGAUUCAAACUGGAAUCAAAGUCUGACAAUAUAAGACUUGUUCUUUGGUAAGUCAUGCUACUCCAGUACAGCAGGUGGCAGUGUAGCUAGUGGGUCACUGUGAGGCGAAACGUUUAAAAAUGAGUAUAAUAAUUUAUUUUCAUGACAAGCAAUGCAAUAAUUACUCCCCCCCCACCACCACAGCGCCAUCUUCUGGACCUGGUGGGUCACUGUCCCACUUUACCCAGCUGUGAUCAGAUUGUUCAGGCAGAAUGUUUAAAGAUGAGUCUUCUGUAUAUAACUUUAUCGCACAUUCGUAGGCCACAUGCAAUUGUUUCUUCCUUUGAACUUAUGUUCGUGCUGCUUUUGUUUUGUUGUUUUUUUUUUGUUUUUGUUUUUUUACUCUAACCCGACUAAUUUAUAUGAUUUCUAACCACUGCAGCUGCAUCUGCUGGACCGGGUGGCUCACUGCCCCACUUGACCCCAGUUCAAUAGGAAUGUUAGCAACUUGAAUGAUGACUUUGGUGCAAGCUGUAUGGAAAUUUUGGACUGCAAUCCAAUCAUCAUUGACGCUUGUCAUUGGAUUUAGUCUUUCAAGUGAAAGGACGGGAUGAAAUCCAUGAGCUUUAGCGUACCUUCUUGAUUAGUAGCUCCCCCAUGGGGACUCCAAUUGCCCCCAAAUACUUGUGGCAGUGACACUCAUGGACCGGCCAGUAUGCCUUGUAUACUGUGACAGCAGGAAUGCGAAUAACGCCGGAGUCUUUUUGUCUUGUCUAACACCCAUCCGUCAUCUCCAACGCGUUUGCUGUAAAUCGCCCCAGAUGACACAAAAUUCUUCAGGCUGCUUGAUGGAUACCGAGGCAAGACGCAGGACGAGGAUGAGAGAGGAGCGGUCGCCCUACAAAGCAACCUGGGGCGGACACCACGGGGUGUCAGGGUAC
Molecule: long non-coding RNA, 976 nt
Organism: Hippocampus comes (tiger tail seahorse)
Lineage: Eukaryota; Metazoa; Chordata; Actinopteri; Syngnathiformes; Syngnathidae
Exons: 4
Source: RefSeq, a predicted model, not a curated record